Molecule: non-coding RNA, 21 nt
Filed under: Arabidopsis thaliana (thale cress)
Lineage: Eukaryota; Viridiplantae; Streptophyta; Magnoliopsida; Brassicales; Brassicaceae
Source: RNAcentral
UAUAAGUGACCAUGUUGCAGA